RNAcentral lists this ribosomal RNA (253 nucleotides) under uncultured bacterium. Its description in RNAcentral is "partial 16S ribosomal RNA". It matches the Rfam family "Bacterial small subunit ribosomal RNA", at positions 524 to 776 of the family's 1533-position model. The record is from RNAcentral.
UACGGAGGGGGCUAGCGUUAUUCGGAAUUACUGGGCGUAAAGCGCGCGUAGGCGGUUUUCCAAGUUGGAGGUGAAAUCCCGGGGCUUAACUCCGGAACUGCCUUCAAAACUGGAUGACUAGAGUUCGAGAGAGGUAAGGGGAAUUCCUAGUGUAGAGGUGAAAUUCGUAGAUAUUCGGAAGAACACCAGUGGCGAAGGCGACUGACUGGACAAGUAUUGACGCUGAGGUGCGAAAGCGUGGGGAGCAAACAGG